UACAAGUAAUGGGACCACAUUUGACUAGUUAGAAGGAGAAAAGGGACACAUAGUCACAAAGUUGGAAAACCAAUCUUUCCCUAUUCUUUCACUUUCACGCCUAAUCACUCCACAACCACAAGAUCUCAAUCCUCUCAUCUUUCUCUUCACGCAAAAACAGAAACAAAAGCACCAUGACCCCAUUUCAUUUCUCUCUCUCUCAUGGAACACACCACUCAACUUCCAUUUUCCAAGCUAGAAACCACACCCCACAUAAGAAGAGUAACCAUCCACACACUUUGCAUCUUUUCAUUUAUGCAGAAAAACAAAUUCUCUCUCUAACUCUCCAUUUUCUCUCCCUCGUGGUUGUUCCCCUUUUCACUAUAUUCACCACUUCCAAUCACCAAGCUUCUCAUGCAAUUGGACAUUUAAGUUCCUCAGACUCCAAAUCAUUCAAGAUAAGGCUUUCAGUGACUCAAUCUAUUUCAUCUUCCUACACUCUCUCUCUCUCUCUCUCUCUCUCGUGUUACCCUUCUUCAUCUUCAAUAGAAACCAACCAUACCCAAAUCAUCCAUUUUUGGUACCAUGAAGCCUUGCAUGUGUUUAUUUUAAAGCUAUUGGUACUGUGAUGUUUAGUUAGGAGCUAAGCAUUGUUAGAAACUUCAUGGAUUUGGGAGGUUUAAGAAAAAGUGUCAGACUUUUGGAUGGAAUCUAUUAGAAGGGAAAAUUCAAUUUUGACCCAUUCCCUUGGAGCUGGCCGUAUCACCCCCACCUCUUCCCCAAGUUCAGAUAUUGAUUUGUAUUGUGGUCAAACACAUGAUUUUGCCUUGAAAUUGAGUGGAGUUAAAGGAGUGGAAGGCUGCAUGUAGCAUCUCUUGGUGCCAAAUGGAUAUGAAAUAAAGUGGCCGAUUUUAGAAGAUAUUGAAGAAUCAAGUGGGUGUCACUAAAGUUCUCAACUGUGUUCUCUUGAAAGGUAAACAGGUUAACCGGAGCAAGGACCAGGCAGGAACUGAUGAUCGAGGUUGAGCUUGGAUUAUCGGAUUAGAAGACUAUCGUCUUCUUCUUUGUUUUUAUGUUAAUCUGUUAAGUUAGAAUUUAAUUCUCUUCUGCUGUAUUUUACUGGAUUAUCACAUUAUUAUCGUGAUAUUGUAAAAUUCAAGUAAUUAUUCUGUAAUUUUAAUGUACUCAGAUUCAAUUA
Molecule: long non-coding RNA, 1177 nt
Organism: Trifolium pratense (red clover)
Lineage: Eukaryota; Viridiplantae; Streptophyta; Magnoliopsida; Fabales; Fabaceae
Exons: 2
Source: RefSeq, a predicted model, not a curated record